GAGAGAGCAUCAACCCCCAAAUGGGCUACUUCAACUGCUACAAAUCCCGAAAUAAAAAUAGGAACAUAUCACCAUAGACUUUGUAACAGGAUUGCCGAAGGCAUGUUUUAGUCACGAUGUGAUCUGGGUAAUUAUCAAUCGACUCACUAAGUCUUCCCACUUCCUAGUUGUCAGAAUAACAUACUCCUUAGAUAAGCUAGCUAGUAUUUAUAUUGGAGAGAUAAUCAGGUU
Molecule: long non-coding RNA, 231 nt
Filed under: Carica papaya (papaya)
Lineage: Eukaryota; Viridiplantae; Streptophyta; Magnoliopsida; Brassicales; Caricaceae
Description: long non-coding RNA (CPAP_LNC006874)
Source: RNAcentral